This 400-nucleotide ribosomal RNA is filed under the name uncultured bacterium. Its description in RNAcentral is "bacterial SSU rRNA". It matches the Rfam family "Bacterial small subunit ribosomal RNA", at positions 356 to 773 of the family's 1533-position model. The record is from RNAcentral.
GGGGAAUAUUGGACAAUGGGCGAAAGCCUGAUCCAGCAAUGCCGCGUGAGUGAUGAAGGCCUUAGGGUUGUAAAGCUCUCUUACCCGGGAUGAUAAUGACAGUACCGGGAGAAUAAGCUCCGGCUAACUCCGUGCCAGCAGCCGCGGUAAUACGGAGGGAGCUAGCGUUGUUCGGAAUUACUGGGCGUAAAGCGCGCGUAGGCGGUUACUCAAGUCAGAGGUGAAAGCCCGGGGCUCAACCCCGGAACUGCCUUUGAAACUAGGUAACUAGAAUCUUGGAGAGGUCAGUGGAAUUCCGAGUGUAGAGGUGAAAUUCGUAGAUAUUCGGAAGAACACCAGUGGCGAAGGCGACUGACUGGACAAGUAUUGACGCUGAGGUGCGAAAGCGUGGGGAGCAAAC